This is a long non-coding RNA of Cyprinus carpio (common carp), 624 nucleotides long. RefSeq lists it as uncharacterized. NCBI's taxonomy places the organism in Eukaryota, Metazoa, Chordata, Actinopteri, Cypriniformes, Cyprinidae. The transcript has 3 exons. The record is from RefSeq and is a predicted model, not a curated record.
UUUAGAUGAGCAGCUAGAGACAACAACUACACGUUACAUUUGCAAACUCUACAGAACAGGAGAUAAUUAGUGAGGUAAUACCCAUAACCUUUUGUGAAUUACCUAUAUAGGAAAGCCCGCCAGACUCCUGCUAGAAGAAGUGGUAUGUAUGUAUACAAGAUCAUGUCCUUACGGAAAUACAAAGCCCAUGUGGAUGUGGAGUGAAUGUCCUACUUGUUGAUGUUGGCGCAACGCAGCGGUAAGUAUUGAGAAGAUCUACUGUAAAAACCUAAACCUACCUUUGUCUAUAAACUGUCCGAGCAUGGAGGGGCAGCCAUUUUUAAACAGAUCUCCACAAGAUCACGCCCACAAGUGUAUGACAUCAUCAUUAAGCUAAAGUUCUCUUAAAGGUGUAGUAGGACGUAUAAAUUCAUGUUUAUCUAAAUCACAACUAAAAGUAUACAUCUUCUUUUAAGAAUGAAGAUGAAGUGUGGAUUUUGUAAUGAUAUUGUUGUCAACUGGUGGUCACUGACAAAAAAUUAUGGCUUCAGUCCAGAGGGGGCCCUCAUGGCCGAAAUAGCUCAGUUGGGAGAGCGUUAGACUGAAGAUCUAAAGGUCCCUGGUUCGAUCCCGGGUUUCGGCAUU